UACGAAGGGGGCUAGCGUUGCUCGGAAUUACUGGGCGUAAAGGGCGCGUAGGCGGAUAGUUGAGUUAGAGGUGAAAGCCCAGGGCUCAACCCUGGAAUAGCCUUUAAUACUGGAUAUCUUGAGUUCGGGAGAGGUGAGUGGAACUCCGAGUGUAGAGGUGAAAUUCGUAGAUAUUCGGAAGAACACCAGUGGCGAAGGCGACUCACUGGCCCGAUACUGACGCUGAGGCGCGAAAGCGUGGGGAGCAAACAGG
This 253-nucleotide ribosomal RNA is filed under the name uncultured bacterium. RNAcentral's name for it is "partial 16S ribosomal RNA". It matches the Rfam family "Bacterial small subunit ribosomal RNA", at positions 524 to 776 of the family's 1533-position model. The record is from RNAcentral.